This 496-nucleotide ribosomal RNA is filed under the name uncultured bacterium. Its description in RNAcentral is "partial 16S ribosomal RNA". It matches the Rfam family "Bacterial small subunit ribosomal RNA", at positions 29 to 507 of the family's 1533-position model. The record is from RNAcentral.
AUGCACGCUGGCGGCGUGCCUCAUCCAUGCAAGUCGCGCGAACAGAUAAGGAGCUUGCUCCUUUGACGUUAGCGGCGGACGGGUGAGUAACACGUGGGUAACCUACCUAUAAGACUGGAAUAACUCCGGGAAACCGGGGCUAAUGCCGGAUAACAUUUAGAACCGCAUGGUUCUAAAGUGAAAGAUGGUUUUGCUAUCACUUAUAGAUGGACCCGCGCCGUAUUAGCUAGUUGGUAAGGUAACGGCUUACCAAGGCAACGAUACGUAGCCGACCUGAGAGGGUGAUCGGCCACACUGGAACUGAGACACGGUCCAGACUCCUACGGGAGGCAGCAGUAGGGAAUCUUCCGCAAUGGGCGAAAGCCUGACGGAGCAACGCCGCGUGAGUGAUGAAGGUCUUCGGAUCGUAAAACUCUGUUAUUAGGGAAGAACAAAUGUGUAAGUAACUGUGCACGUCUUGACGGUACCUAAUCAGAAAGCCACGGCUAACUACGUG